GAUGAACGCUGGCGGCGUGCUUAACACAUGCAAGUCGAACGAAGCAUUUAGGAAAGAUUACUUCGGUUUGAAGCUCUUUAUGACUGAGUGGCGGACGGGUGAGUAACGCGUGGGUAACCUGCCUUGUACUGGGGGAUAGCAGCUGGAAACGGCUGGUAAUACCGCAUAAGCGCACAAUGUUGCAUGACAUGGUGCGAAAAACUCCGGUGGUAUAAGAUGGACCCGCGUCUGAUUAGCUAGUUGGUGAGAUAACAGCCCACCAAGGCUACGAACCGUAGCCGACAUGAGAGGGUGACCGGCCACAUUGGGACUGAGACACGGCGCAGACUCCUACGGGAGUCAGCAGUGGUGAAUAUUGCACAAUGGAGGAAACUCUGAUGCAGCGACGCCGCGUGAGUGAAUAAGUAAUUCGUAAUGUAAAGCUCUAUCAGCAGGGAAGAUAGUGACGGUACCUGACUAAGAAGCUCCGGCUAACUACGUG
Molecule: ribosomal RNA, 481 nt
Filed under: uncultured bacterium
Lineage: Bacteria
Description: partial 16S ribosomal RNA
Rfam family: Bacterial small subunit ribosomal RNA
Source: RNAcentral